RNAcentral lists this transfer RNA (72 nucleotides) under Phrynosoma platyrhinos (Desert horned lizard). Its description in RNAcentral is "tRNA-OTHER". The record is from RNAcentral. Lineage: Eukaryota; Metazoa; Chordata; Lepidosauria; Squamata; Phrynosomatidae.
GCCAGUGUGGCAUGGUGGUUUGAGUGUUGGACUACAACUCUGCAGACCAGGGUUCGAUUCCCAGCUUGGCCA